GACGAACGCUGGCGGCGUGCUUAACACAUGCAAGUCGAACGGUGAAGCGCUUGCCUUUUUGGUGGGUGUGGAUGAGUGGCGAACGGGUGAGUAACACGUGAGUAACCUGCCCUCUUCUUCUGGAUAACCUCAUGAAAGUGGGGCUAAUACGGGGUAUUCCGGGUCUGUCGCAUGGCGGGUUUGGGAAAGAUUGCGCCUUUGGGUGUUUUCGGUGGGGGAUGGGCUCGCGGCCUAUCAGCUUGUUGGUGGGGUGAUGGCCUACCAAGGCGGUGACGGGUAGCCGGCCUGAGAGGGUGGACGGCCACACUGGGACUGAGACACGGCCCAGACUCCUGCGGGAGACAGCAGUGGGGAAUAUUGCACAAUGGGCGCAAGCCUGAUGCAGCGACGCCGCGUGAGGGAUGGAGGCCUUCGGGUUGUGAACCUCUUUCGCCAGUGAAGCAGGCCUGCUCCUGUGUGGGUGGGUUGACGGUAGCUGGAUAAGAAGCGCCGGCUAACUACGUG
RNAcentral lists this ribosomal RNA (504 nucleotides) under uncultured bacterium. RNAcentral describes it as "partial 16S ribosomal RNA". It matches the Rfam family "Bacterial small subunit ribosomal RNA", at positions 28 to 507 of the family's 1533-position model. The record is from RNAcentral.